AUCAUCACAAGCAAAACUGAGACAUGUUUCUUAAAGCUAUUGUAUUGUUGGCACUAGUGGCCACCCUGGCGGUGGUUAGCCCUGUCGCAGCGCAAAUACCAAUUUCCAUGAGACCGCAUAUUGAUACCGAUACUGGUAUCAUCGAUACUCCACCAGCUGCGCAUAUUUCAGAAACCAUACCAGUGGACAUUCCAAUAGCUGGAUGAUUGAAAAUCUCAAGUUUGAGGGUACUUCAGGAUGCACUUCACAUGUCAGAUAUGAAGAGGCAAUUGGUAUAUUCUUUGAAAAAGUGAAUAAAUAUUUAAAAUAUACUGCACGAUA
Wyeomyia smithii (pitcher-plant mosquito) is the source of this 321-nucleotide long non-coding RNA. RefSeq lists it as uncharacterized. Lineage: Eukaryota; Metazoa; Arthropoda; Insecta; Diptera; Culicidae. The transcript has 2 exons. The record is from RefSeq and is a predicted model, not a curated record.